This 253-nucleotide ribosomal RNA is filed under the name uncultured bacterium. RNAcentral's name for it is "partial 16S ribosomal RNA". It matches the Rfam family "Bacterial small subunit ribosomal RNA", at positions 524 to 776 of the family's 1533-position model. The record is from RNAcentral.
UACGGAGGGUGCAAGCGUUAAUCGGAAUUACUGGGCGUAAAGCGUGCGCAGGCGGUUUUGUAAGUCUGACGUGAAAUCCCCGGGCUCAACCUGGGAAUUGCGUUGGAGACCGCAAGGCUAGAAUCUGGCAGAGGGGGGUAGAAUUCCACGUGUAGCAGUGAAAUGCGUAGAGAUGUGGAGGAACACCGAUGGCGAAGGCAGCCCCCUGGGUCAAGAUUGACGCUCAUGCACGAAAGCGUGGGGAGCAAACAGG